Molecule: transfer RNA, 73 nt
Filed under: Lignipirellula cremea
Lineage: Bacteria; Pseudomonadati; Planctomycetota; Planctomycetia; Pirellulales; Pirellulaceae
Description: Planctomycetes bacterium Pla85_3_4 tRNA-Arg
Rfam family: tRNA
About the family: Transfer RNA (tRNA) molecules are approximately 80 nucleotides in length. Their secondary structure includes four short double-helical elements and three loops (D, anti-codon, and T loops).
Source: RNAcentral
AUCCCGAUGGUGUAACGGAACGCACAAGACUUUCCUAAAGUCUUGGUCCUGGUUCGAUUCCAGGUCGGGAUAC